CCUACGGGUGGCAGCAGUGAGGAAUAUUGGUCAAUGGGCGAGAGCCUGAACCAGCCAAGUCGCGUGAAGGAUGACGGCCCUACGGGUUGUAAACUUCUUUUGUCAGGGAGCAAAUGAGGCCACGUGUGGGCUUAGCGAGAGGACCUGAAGAAAAAGCAGCGGCUAACUCGGGGCCAGCAGCCGCGGUAAUACGGAGGAUGCUAGCGUUAUCCGGAUUUAUUGGGUUUAAAGGGUGCGUAGGCGGAAUAUCAAGUCAGCGGUAAAAAUUCGGGGCUCAACCCCGUCGUGCCGUUGAAACUGCUGUUCUUGAGUGGGCGAUAAGUAUGCGGAAUGCGUGGUGUAGCGGU
This 347-nucleotide ribosomal RNA is filed under the name uncultured bacterium. RNAcentral describes it as "partial 16S ribosomal RNA". It matches the Rfam family "Bacterial small subunit ribosomal RNA", at positions 338 to 682 of the family's 1533-position model. The record is from RNAcentral.